Molecule: ribosomal RNA, 462 nt
Filed under: uncultured bacterium
Lineage: Bacteria
Description: partial 16S ribosomal RNA
Rfam family: Bacterial small subunit ribosomal RNA
Source: RNAcentral
GACGAACGCUGGCGGCGUGCUUAACACAUGCAAGUCGAGCGGAAAGGCCCUUCGGGGUACUCGAGCGGCGAACGGGUGAGUAACACGUGAGUAACCUGCCCCAGACUUUGGGAUAACCCUCGGAAACGGGGGCUAAUACCGGAUACGACACAGCUUCGCAUGGGGUCUGUGUGGAAAGUUUUUCGGUUUGGGAUGGGCUCGCGGCCUAUCAGCUUGUUGGUGGGGUGAUGGCCUACCAAGGCGACGACGGGUAGCCGGCCUGAGAGGGCGACCGGCCACACUGGGACUGAGACACGGCCCAGACUCCUACGGGAGGCAGCAGUGGGGAAUAUUGCACAAUGGGCGGAAGCCUGAUGCAGCGACGCCGCGUGAGGGAUGACGGCCUUCGGGUUGUAAACCUCUUUCAGCAGGGACGAAGCGUAAAUGACGGUACCUGCAGAAGAAGCGCCGGCCAACUACGUG